This 301-nucleotide ribosomal RNA is filed under the name uncultured bacterium. RNAcentral's name for it is "partial 16S ribosomal RNA". It matches the Rfam family "Bacterial small subunit ribosomal RNA", at positions 509 to 807 of the family's 1533-position model. The record is from RNAcentral.
CAGUCGCCACGGUAAUACAGAGGGUGCGAGCGUUAAUCGGAUUUACUGGGCGUAAAGCGUGCGUUGGCGGCUUCUUAAGUCGGAUGUGAAAUCCCUGAGCUUAACUUAGGAAUUGCAUUCGAUACUGGGAAGCUAGAGUAUGGGAGAGGAUGGUAGAAUUCCAGGUGUAGCGGUGAAAUGCGUAGAGAUCUGGAGGAAUACCGAUGGCGAAGGCAGCCAUCUGGCCUAAUACUGACACUGAGGUACGAAAGCAUGGGGAGCAAACAGGAUUAGAUACCCCGGUAGUCCCUGUCUCUUAUAC